This 81-nucleotide transfer RNA is filed under the name Sphaerosporella brunnea. It matches the Rfam family "tRNA". Rfam says of the family: Transfer RNA (tRNA) molecules are approximately 80 nucleotides in length. Their secondary structure includes four short double-helical elements and three loops (D, anti-codon, and T loops). Lineage: Eukaryota; Fungi; Ascomycota; Pezizomycetes; Pezizales; Pyronemataceae. The record is from Rfam by way of RNAcentral.
GGCAAUCUGUCCGAGUGGUUAAGGAGUCAGACUCGAAAUCUGAUGGGUUCGCCCGCACAGGUUCGAAUCCUGUGGUUGUCG